Molecule: long non-coding RNA, 508 nt
Organism: Erinaceus europaeus (western European hedgehog)
Lineage: Eukaryota; Metazoa; Chordata; Mammalia; Eulipotyphla; Erinaceidae
Exons: 3
Source: RefSeq, a predicted model, not a curated record
UUCCACUGGAGGCUGCAGGGGUGUUUCUCUCAGCUCUAUGUGACAGCAUGUUUUUAAAGAAGGUGAGAGUGGCAGACUCACAAUUUCCAGGAUCCUUUCAUGACUCUUCUACAGAUGCAAGCCUCCAUUUUCUUGUUGAUGUUUUCGUCCUGAUGAUCUGUCUCUUGCUGUGAGUGGUGUGUUGAGAUCUCUAACUAAGCAGCAACUGUGCUGUUGUCUAUGUCUCCAUUAAGCUCAGUUCUGCCUUAAUGUGACACUGUGGAUUGAACCUGGCACCUCAGAGCAUGUAAGUCCUGCACUGAACCAUUAUGUUUUCUCCCCAGCCCAGCCCCUGAAGCUGAUGUUGGAACAACAGCUACUAUGUAUGUGCAUUCCAUGCAGUAUUCACCAUAUUCUCAGAGAAUACUCUUAUUCCAUAAAUGGUUAUUGCUUGUGUGUUUUAUGUUGACUGUUGAUGAUACAGAAUUUUUCAAAAGCACAAUAAAGCCUACACCUACAUGGAAAAUAA